AGUGAACGCUGGCGGUAGGCCUAACACAUGCAAGUCGAACGGCAGCACAGUAAGAGCUUGCUCUUACGGGUGGCGAGUGGCGGACGGGUGAGGAAUACAUCGGAAUCUACUUUUUCGUGGGGGAUAACGUAGGGAAACUUACGCUAAUACCGCAUACGACCUACGGGUGAAAGCAGGGGAUCUUCGGACCUUGCGCGAUUGAAUGAGCCGAUGUCGGAUUAGCUAGUUGGCGGGGUAAAGGCCCACCAAGGCGACGAUCCGUAGCUGGUCUGAGAGGAUGAUCAGCCACACUGGAACUGAGACACGGUCCAGACUCCUACGGGAGGCAGCAGUGGGGAAUAUUGGACAAUGGGGGCAAGCCUGAUCCAGCCAUACCGCGUGGGUGAAGAAGGCCUUCGGGUUGUAAAGCCCUUUUGUUGGGAAAGAAAAGCAGCAGGUUAAGACCCCGCUGUUCUGACGGUACCCAAAGAAUAAGCACCGGCUAACUUCGUG
This 492-nucleotide ribosomal RNA is filed under the name uncultured bacterium. RNAcentral describes it as "partial 16S ribosomal RNA". It matches the Rfam family "Bacterial small subunit ribosomal RNA", at positions 29 to 507 of the family's 1533-position model. The record is from RNAcentral.